This is a non-coding RNA of Ailuropoda melanoleuca (giant panda), 83 nucleotides long. The record is from Rfam. Lineage: Eukaryota; Metazoa; Chordata; Mammalia; Carnivora; Ursidae.
GCCUGGGUGGCACAGCGGUUGAGCGUCUGCCUUCGGCUCAGGGCAUGAUCCUGGCGUUGUGGGAUCGAGCCCCACAUCAGGCU